AGGCCCAUAUUUGAACAAAGCAAACCUAACGCCAACGUCUAGUUACAAACUGCAGUGUCCAAGAUUCCAUGCUAGAGCUGAUGCUGCAGCACUGCACUUGUCUUGAAGGAUUGUCUAUUGGAAGUUGUGCUUCUCUUAAGUCCCUUCCUCAAGGUCGUCUACCUGUUUCCUUAAAGCGAUUGGAGAUUGAUGACUGCGGUGAGCUUGAUUGUUCUAGAAUCCUCUUGUACACAUCUCUCACAGUAUUGGAGGUGAGGAAUGCCCAUGAUUCACUAGAAUCAUUCCCAUUAGGCUCUUUUCCUAACCUAAAGAGCUUGCUUUGUACAAACAUCAAGUCCUUUCCUGCAUUAGAGGGACAUCACCAGCAUAUCCCAUCUCUCGAUUUUUUAGGGAUAUCCAACUGUCCUGAUCGAUCUUUUCCCGAAGGGGGAUUAUCUGCCCUUAAUUUGACAAUGCUUUCUCUCUUCGAUUGCAAAUUUAAAGUCACUCCUCGAGCAUAUGCACUCCCUUCUCCCAUCCCUCGAGCAUUUGAGAAUAUCGAAUUGUCCAGAGAUUGAGUCAUUUCCAGAGGGGGGCUUGCCAUUCAAAUUAAAAUAUCUUGAAAUUGAUGUUGUAAUAAACUUAUUGCUGGUCUAAUGGAAUGGGGAUUGCACAAACUCCACUGUCUUACACAUUUCAUGAUGAAUGGAGGAGAUAUGGGGUUCUUUCCAGAUGAGCAGCUGCUGCCAUCCACUAUUACCAAGCUUGGGGUUGGGAGUCUUCCAAAUCUCAAAACUCUGGACUACAAAGGGCUUCAACACCUUACUCCAUUCAGGAAUUGAACGUCGAUAACUGCCCAAUGCUCCAAUCCAUGCCACCAGAGGGGCUCCCUGUCUCCCUUUCUAAUAUAUCCAUUUCCCGCUGUCCAUUGCUGACAAAAAGUUGCCAAAAGGUGAAAGGUAAAGAUUGGGCCAAGAUUUCCCACAUCCCAUUGAUAAGAAUUGAUCAUCAUCAACCCAUUAUCGCGUGAACUCGAAGUCUUAGAGAUUUCAUUUGGCUCAGAGAGCAUAUGCUCCCCGCAGUCUUGAACCAACGCACUGCCACAGACAAAACAAAUUGAAGCCAUGAAGAGCCUCUCCUUCACCUUCUCUGCCGUUCUAAUGCUUCUGUUACUUUCUUUUGGCAAUCAGCUGAUGAUGGGACAGAGCUGUGAGUGUGAGUAAUCAUUUCCGAAUCCAGGCUGCACACAAGAUGAAUGCAAUAAUCUUUGCAUUUAGCAUUUUGGGAAAACUGGGAAAUAUGGAGCUCCAGUUUAUGGGGUUUGCUUCAUGAGUAAAACUUAUAUCUGCCGUCAAUGUUAAAAGCCUCUGGUUACAACUUAGGCUAGUUUAUCUUUGUCUUGCUUUGUUUUUGGGACUAACAAACAAAGUCAUUGAAGUUCAAUAAAGUGGAUUUCUAUUUGGAUGCAGUGAAAUGUGUUUAAAGGUACUGAAUAAUAAUUAAGAAACUUGAA
Non-coding RNA from Theobroma umbraticum, 1492 nucleotides. NCBI's taxonomy places the organism in Eukaryota, Viridiplantae, Streptophyta, Magnoliopsida, Malvales, Malvaceae. The record is from RefSeq and is a predicted model, not a curated record.